Molecule: non-coding RNA, 1543 nt
Organism: Pelobates cultripes (western spadefoot toad)
Lineage: Eukaryota; Metazoa; Chordata; Amphibia; Anura; Pelobatidae
Source: the annotation of a GenBank genome assembly
CUUUAUUUUACGCUAAGACAAAACAGUCACUACUUUUUUCACAUGGUAUGUUGUUUGAGAUGGCAUUAAAAUGAAAUUCCCAUGAAGUUAAUGAGUAUCCCAAAAAUAUUUAAUUUGUAUAACAUAAUCAAAAGUGACAGACCCAUCUGAAGUAAGCAGAUAGAAUAAGAAUAAGAUACAAUAAGGAGGAGAAUGAAUAGUAGUGAGAAGCUCAAAAAACACCUUAAAGUGGUAUCCCCUAAACCACUUUAAAAAAUAAACAAUAUACGUACAUACAUAAGGUGGAGCUCCUAAAUAGAUGUUCAAUAUAUAUUCUGUAAAUAGAAAUGCAAUACAACAGUGCAAUACAAUUUGAACAAGUUAAAUAUGUUAUUAAAAACAAGAGUGGUAUCACUCACAAGCCUGGAGUCAUAAUCUCAUAUGACUCGAAUGGUAAGCACCUGUGGACCUUUAUAGGAUGUCCAAAUCCUUCUUCUAAUGUGAUUCAUACUUCUUAAUAUCAGAGUGCUCGGAGUUUCCCCACACUUCACAGGCUUGGAGGUGUAUACACGCCAAGUCAAAGUGGUAACUCGUUGUUGCUCUCUCUAUGCUUUGAACCGUGUAUGCGUUCCGGCUCAUGGGAAAAAGAAAAACAUCUGUUUUCCAAAGAGAAAUAAUAUUUUUGUUUGGGAAGCCUUCCAUAGUUUCUAAAUUCUUCUAAAAAAAUAAUUAAUAUGGACAUAAAACACUGUACUAUAAAGAGGGGGCUGGAGUCACACAGCGUCUCCAACCACUUUAAAUUGGCUCAUAAUCAAAACCCUUAAGGACUGUUCUUCAGUGCAAUUAAAUUAGUUAAAAAGGAUUGGAGAGGAGGAGAUUACACUAAAAAGAUUGGAAUGGAGGAAAUGAAAUUCAUCUUUAAUUUUAACACUAUGAUUCCACAAGGGUUAAAUCAAGAUUUUGAAUUAUGUCAUUGUAUGAACUAAUAUAUUACAGUUUUUUAUGCCCAUUCUAUGAACCAAUAUUGUAUUGUGUUUUUAUGUCCAAUCUUAAUGUCAUAACCAACAACAUAUUGAUUUAAUUAAAGGACCACUAUAGGUACCGAGACCACUUCAGCUUAAUGAAGUGGUCUGGGUGCCAGGUCCAGAUAGGAUUAACCCAUUCUUUUAUAAACAUAGCAGUUUCAGAGAAACUGCUAUGUUUAUGAAUGGGUUAAGCCUUCCCCCAAAUCCUCUAGUGGCUGUCUCAUUGACAGCCGCUAGAGGCGCUUGCGUGAUUCUCACUGUGAAAAUCACAGUGAGAGCAAGCAAAUGUCCAUAGGAAAGCAUUGAUAAUGCUUUCCUAUGCGACCGGCUGAAUGCGCGCGCAGCUCUUGCCGCGCGUGCGCAUUCAGCCGACGGGAAGGAACGGAGGAGGAGAGCUCCCCGCCCAGCGCUGGAAAAAGUUAAGUUUUUUCCCCUUUCCCCCUUCCAGAGCCGGGCGGGAGGGGGACCCUGAGGGUGGGGGCACCCUCAGGGCAUUAUAGUGCCAGGAAACUGAGUAUGUUUUCCUGGCACUAUAGUGG